RNAcentral lists this ribosomal RNA (462 nucleotides) under uncultured bacterium. RNAcentral's name for it is "partial 16S ribosomal RNA". It matches the Rfam family "Bacterial small subunit ribosomal RNA", at positions 28 to 507 of the family's 1533-position model. The record is from RNAcentral.
GACGAACGCUGGCGGCGUGCUUAACACAUGCAAGUCGAGCGGAAAGGCCCUUCGGGGUACUCGAGCGGCGAACGGGUGAGUAACACGUGAGUAACCUGCCCCAGACUUUGGGAUAACCCUCGGAAACGGGGGCUAAUACCGGAUACGACACAGCUUCGCAUGGGGUCUGUGUGGAAAGUUUUUCGGUUUGGAAUGGGCUCGCGGCCUAUCAGCUUGUUGGUGGGGUGAUGGCCUACCAAGGCGACGACGGGUAGCCGGCCUGAGAGGGCGACCGGCCACACUGGGACUGAGACACGGCCCAGACUCCUACGGGAGGCAGCAGUGGGGAAUAUUGCACAAUGGGCGGAAGCCUGAUGCAGCGACGCCGCGUGAGGGAUGACGGCCUUCGGGUUGUAAACCUCUUUCAGCAGGGACGAAGCGUAAGUGACGGUACCUGCAGAAGAAGCGCCGGCCAACUACGUG